UACAGGGGGUGCAAACGUUGCUCGGAAUUAUUGGGCGUAAAGCGCGCGUAGGCGGCUACUUAAGUCAGAUGUGAAAUCCCCAGGCUCAACCUGGGAACUGCAUUUGAAACUCCCUUUCUUGAGUAUCGGAGAGGAAAGCGGAAUUCCUGGUGUAGAGGUGAAAUUCGUAGAUAUCAGGAGGAACACCAGCGGCGAAGGCGGCUUUCUGGACGAUAACUGACGCUGAGACGCGAAAGCGUGGGGAGCAAACAGG
Molecule: ribosomal RNA, 253 nt
Filed under: uncultured bacterium
Lineage: Bacteria
Description: partial 16S ribosomal RNA
Rfam family: Bacterial small subunit ribosomal RNA
Source: RNAcentral